ACGGCAAAUCAGUCUAUCGCUUUUCAUUUGAAAAGAGGAAAGUCCGGGCAGCAAAGAGCAACGUACUUCCUAACGGGAAGGGUUGCAACCAGCGACGGUUGCAAUACAGCAAGUGCCACAGAAAAAAAACUACCUUGGCUCGCCAAGGAAAAGGUGAAAAGGUGAGGUAAGAGCUCACCGCAACUGCAGCAAUGCAUUUGGCAGGGUAAACCUUACGUGCUGAAAGACCAAAUAUACCGAGGCCUGCGCAAGCAGAACGAGUUGCUCGCUCGUCUCGGAGGGUAGGUCGCUCGACACUACAUGUGAAUGUAGUGCUAGAUAAAUGAUAGACACCAACGCUGCGUGCAGCAAUUGGUACAGAACCCGGCUUAUGAUUUGCCAUUUUU
This 386-nucleotide RNase P RNA is filed under the name Sphingomonadales bacterium. RNAcentral describes it as "RNase P RNA component class A". It matches the Rfam family "Bacterial RNase P class A". Rfam says of the family: Ribonuclease P (RNase P) is a ubiquitous endoribonuclease, found in archaea, bacteria and eukarya as well as chloroplasts and mitochondria. Its best characterised activity is the generation of mature 5'-ends of tRNAs by cleaving the 5'-leader elements of precursor-tRNAs. Lineage: Bacteria; Pseudomonadati; Pseudomonadota; Alphaproteobacteria; Sphingomonadales. The record is from RNAcentral.